This 2835-nucleotide ribosomal RNA is filed under the name Staphylococcus aureus. RNAcentral's name for it is "partial 23S ribosomal RNA". It matches the Rfam family "Bacterial large subunit ribosomal RNA". The record is from RNAcentral. Lineage: Bacteria; Bacillati; Bacillota; Bacilli; Caryophanales; Staphylococcaceae. RNAcentral also lists the same sequence under 2 other names.
UAAGUAAGCUUUGAUCCAGAGAUUUCCGAAUGGGGAAACCCAGCAUGAGUUAUGUCAUGUUAUCGAUAUGUGAAUACAUAGCAUAUCAGAAGGCACACCCGGAGAACUGAAACAUCUUAGUACCCGGAGGAAGAGAAAGAAAAUUCGAUUCCCUUAGUAGCGGCGAGCGAAACGGGAAGAGCCCAAACCAACAAGCUUGCUUGUUGGGGUUGUAGGACACUCUAUACGGAGUUACAAAGGACGACAUUAGACGAAUCAUCUGGAAAGAUGAAUCAAAGAAGGUAAUAAUCCUGUAGUCGAAAAUGUUGUCUCUCUUGAGUGGAUCCUGAGUACGACGGAGCACGUGAAAUUCCGUCGGAAUCUGGGAGGACCAUCUCCUAAGGCUAAAUACUCUCUAGUGACCGAUAGUGAACCAGUACCGUGAGGGAAAGGUGAAAAGCACCCCGGAAGGGGAGUGAAAUAGAACCUGAAACCGUGUGCUUACAAGUAGUCAGAGCCCGUUAAUGGGUGAUGGCGUGCCUUUUGUAGAAUGAACCGGCGAGUUACGAUUUGAUGCAAGGUUAAGCAGUAAAUGUGGAGCCGUAGCGAAAGCGAGUCUGAAUAGGGCGUUUAGUAUUUGGUCGUAGACCCGAAACCAGGUGAUCUACCCUUGGUCAGGUUGAAGUUCAGGUAACACUGAAUGGAGGACCGAACCGACUUACGUUGAAAAGUGAGCGGAUGAACUGAGGGUAGCGGAGAAAUUCCAAUCGAACCUGGAGAUAGCUGGUUCUCUCCGAAAUAGCUUUAGGGCUAGCCUCAAGUGAUGAUUAUUGGAGGUAGAGCACUGUUUGGACGAGGGGCCCCUCUCGGGUUACCGAAUUCAGACAAACUCCGAAUGCCAAUUAAUUUAACUUGGGAGUCAGAACAUGGGUGAUAAGGUCCGUGUUCGAAAGGGAAACAGCCCAGACCACCAGCUAAGGUCCCAAAAUAUAUGUUAAGUGGAAAAGGAUGUGGCGUUGCCCAGACAACUAGGAUGUUGGCUUAGAAGCAGCCAUCAUUUAAAGAGUGCGUAAUAGCUCACUAGUCGAGUGACACUGCGCCGAAAAUGUACCGGGGCUAAACAUAUUACCGAAGCUGUGGAUUGUCCUUUGGACAAUGGUAGGAGAGCGUUCUAAGGGCGUUGAAGCAUGAUCGUAAGGACAUGUGGAGCGCUUAGAAGUGAGAAUGCCGGUGUGAGUAGCGAAAGACGGGUGAGAAUCCCGUCCACCGAUUGACUAAGGUUUCCAGAGGAAGGCUCGUCCGCUCUGGGUUAGUCGGGUCCUAAGCUGAGGCCGACAGGCGUAGGCGAUGGAUAACAGGUUGAUAUUCCUGUACCACCUAUAAUCGUUUUAAUCGAUGGGGGGACGCAGUAGGAUAGGCGAAGCGUGCGAUUGGAUUGCACGUCUAAGCAGUAAGGCUGAGUAUUAGGCAAAUCCGGUACUCGUUAAGGCUGAGCUGUGAUGGGGAGAAGACAUUGUGUCUUCGAGUCGUUGAUUUCACACUGCCGAGAAAAGCCUCUAGAUAGAAAAUAGGUGCCCGUACCGCAAACCGACACAGGUAGUCAAGAUGAGAAUUCUAAGGUGAGCGAGCGAACUCUCGUUAAGGAACUCGGCAAAAUGACCCCGUAACUUCGGGAGAAGGGGUGCUCUUUAGGGUUAACGCCCAGAAGAGCCGCAGUGAAUAGGCCCAAGCGACUGUUUAUCAAAAACACAGGUCUCUGCUAAACCGUAAGGUGAUGUAUAGGGGCUGACGCCUGCCCGGUGCUGGAAGGUUAAGAGGAGUGGUUAGCUUCUGCGAAGCUACGAAUCGAAGCCCCAGUAAACGGCGGCCGUAACUAUAACGGUCCUAAGGUAGCGAAAUUCCUUGUCGGGUAAGUUCCGACCCGCACGAAAGGCGUAACGAUUUGGGCACUGUCUCAACGAGAGACUCGGUGAAAUCAUAGUACCUGUGAAGAUGCAGGUUACCCGCGACAGGACGGAAAGACCCCGUGGAGCUUUACUGUAGCCUGAUAUUGAAAUUCGGCACAGCUUGUACAGGAUAGGUAGGAGCCUUUGAAACGUGAGCGCUAGCUUACGUGGAGGCGCUGGUGGGAUACUACCCUAGCUGUGUUGGCUUUCUAACCCGCACCACUUAUCGUGGUGGGAGACAGUGUCAGGCGGGCAGUUUGACUGGGGCGGUCGCCUCCUAAAAGGUAACGGAGGCGCUCAAAGGUUCCCUCAGAAUGGUUGGAAAUCAUUCAUAGAGUGUAAAGGCAUAAGGGAGCUUGACUGCGAGACCUACAAGUCGAGCAGGGUCGAAAGACGGACUUAGUGAUCCGGUGGUUCCGCAUGGAAGGGCCAUCGCUCAACGGAUAAAAGCUACCCCGGGGAUAACAGGCUUAUCUCCCCCAAGAGUUCACAUCGACGGGGAGGUUUGGCACCUCGAUGUCGGCUCAUCGCAUCCUGGGGCUGUAGUCGGUCCCAAGGGUUGGGCUGUUCGCCCAUUAAAGCGGUACGCGAGCUGGGUUCAGAACGUCGUGAGACAGUUCGGUCCCUAUCCGUCGUGGGCGUAGGAAAUUUGAGAGGAGCUGUCCUUAGUACGAGAGGACCGGGAUGGACAUACCUCUGGUGUACCAGUUGUCGUGCCAACGGCAUAGCUGGGUAGCUAUGUGUGGACGGGAUAAGUGCUGAAAGCAUCUAAGCAUGAAGCCCCCCUCAAGAUGAGAUUUCCCAACUUCGGUUAUAAGAUCCCUCAAAGAUGAUGAGGUUAAUAGGUUCGAGGUGGAAGCAUGGUGACAUGUGGAGCUGACGAAUACUAAUCGAUCGAAGACUUAAUCAA